AUUGAACGCUGGCGGCAGGCUUAACACAUGCAAGUCGAGCGAGCGGCGGACGGGUGAGUAAUGUCUGGGCAACUGCCCGAUGGAGGGGGAUAACUACUGGAAACGGUAGCUAAUACCGCAUACUAUCAGAUGAACCCAUAUGGGAUUAGCGAGUAGGUGGGGGAAUGGCUCACCUAGGCGACGAUAUCUAGCUGGUCUGAGAGGAUGAAUAGCCAAUCGGGAAUUGAGACACGGCCCAGCUUCCUACGGGAGGCAGCAGUGGGGAUUAUUGCAAAAUGGGGGCAAGCUGGCGGCAGCCAUGCGGCGUGUAUGAAGAAGGCCUUAGGGUUGUAAAGUACUUUCAGCGGGGAGGCGUUACCCGCAGAAGAAGCACCGGCUAACUCCGUGCCAGCAGCCGCGGUAAUUC
This 406-nucleotide ribosomal RNA is filed under the name uncultured bacterium. Its description in RNAcentral is "partial 16S ribosomal RNA". It matches the Rfam family "Bacterial small subunit ribosomal RNA", at positions 30 to 526 of the family's 1533-position model. The record is from RNAcentral.